This 649-nucleotide ribosomal RNA is filed under the name uncultured bacterium. Its description in RNAcentral is "bacterial SSU rRNA". It matches the Rfam family "Bacterial small subunit ribosomal RNA", at positions 42 to 739 of the family's 1533-position model. The record is from RNAcentral.
ACAGGCCUAACACAUGCAAGUCGAGCGCACCUUCGGGUGAGCGGCGGACGGGUUAGUAACGCGUGGGAACGUGCCCUUCUCUACGGAAUAGCCAUUGGAAACGAUGAGUAAUACCGUAUACGCCCUUCGGGGGAAAGAUUUAUCGGAGAAGGAUCGGCCCGCGUUAGAUUAGAUAGUUGGUGGGGUAACGGCCUACCAAGUCUACGAUCUAUAGCUGGUUUUAGAGGAUGAUCAGCAACACUGGGACUGAGACACGGCCCAGACUCCUACGGGAGGCAGCAGUGGGGAAUCUUAGACAAUGGGCGCAAGCCUGAUCUAGCCAUGCCGCGUGAGUGAUGAAGGCCUUAGGGUCGUAAAGCUCUUUCGCCAGGGAUGAUAAUGACAGUACCUGGUAAAGAAACCCCGGCUAACUCCGUGCCAGCAGCCGCGGUAAUACGGAGGGGGUUAGCGUUGUUCGGAAUUACUGGGCGUAAAGCGUACGUAGGCGGAUUAGAAAGUUGGGGGUGAAAUCCCAGGGCUCAACCCUGGAACUGCCUCCAAAACUACUAGUCUAGAGUUCGAGAGAGGUGAGUGGAACUCCGAGUGUAGAGGUGAAAUUCGUAGAUAUUCGGAAGAACACCAGUGGCGAAGGCGGCUCACUGGCUCGAUA